CGCGACUUCAGAGUUUGAUCCUGGCUCAGGAUGAACGCUGGCGGCGUGCUUAACACAUGCAAGUCGAACGAAGCAUUUUUGAAAGCUUGCUUUUGGAAAUGACUGAGUGGCGGACGGGUGAGUAACGCGUGGGUAACCUGCCUUAUACAGUGGGAUAACAGUUAGAAAUGACUGCUAAUACCGCAUAAGCGCACAGUACCGCAUGGUACAGUGUGAAAAACUCCGGUGGUAUAAGAUGGACCCGCGUCUGAUUAGCUAGUUGGUGAGGUAACGGCUCACCAAGGCAACGAUCAGUAGCCGACUUGAGAGAGUGAUCGGCCACAUUGGGACUGAGACACGGCCCAA
This 345-nucleotide ribosomal RNA is filed under the name uncultured bacterium. Its description in RNAcentral is "bacterial SSU rRNA". It matches the Rfam family "Bacterial small subunit ribosomal RNA", at positions 1 to 334 of the family's 1533-position model. The record is from RNAcentral.